UAAAAGCCUCGUAGUUGGAUAUCUGCUGAAUGCCCCCGGUCCAUCCUAGUGGUGCGUACUCGGUCUGUGUUUAGCACUUUUCUGGGGACUGCGUUCGCACUUCGCUGUGUGGCGCAUGAUCUAGUACUUUUACUUUGAGGAAAUGAGAGUGUUUCAAGCAGGCGUUAGUUUUGAAUACGUUAGCAUGGAAUAAUAGCAUGGGACCUCGUUCUGGAGUUGUUGGUUUUUGGAGCGAUGUAAUCAAAAUAGGGGUAGCUGGGGGCAUUCGUAUUUAACUGUCAGAGGUGAAAUUCUUGGAUUUUUUAAAGACGAACUACUGCGAAAGCAUCUGCCCAGGAUGUUUUUAUUAAUCAAGAACGAAAGUUAGGGGAUCGAAGA
RNAcentral lists this ribosomal RNA (378 nucleotides) under uncultured marine eukaryote. RNAcentral's name for it is "bacterial SSU rRNA". It matches the Rfam family "Eukaryotic small subunit ribosomal RNA", at positions 620 to 1004 of the family's 1831-position model. The record is from RNAcentral.